This 640-nucleotide long non-coding RNA is filed under the name Phoenix dactylifera (date palm). RNAcentral's name for it is "long non-coding RNA (PDAC_LNC009159)". The record is from RNAcentral. Lineage: Eukaryota; Viridiplantae; Streptophyta; Magnoliopsida; Arecales; Arecaceae.
CAGCGUCCAAGCUCCAUUCCGAAUCAUCCCGUGGCCAAAGAAGGAAGUCCACGUUUCCAGCUCCCUUCCAGAUCAGCGAUCCCGCGUCCCCCUCUUCCGGAUUCGAGACCUCAGCAUCCGCGUUCCUCUCGGUUCCUCCGCCGCCCAGCAGCCCGAGUAUGCCGCCAUCAACAACCGUCCCCGCCUUGCACGCAAUCGUCCAUCGCGUUCGCUAGCGAAGCCGCAUCCCAACUGCAAGGCAUCUCCAAAUCCUCCGCAAUCCCAGCCUCCCAGCAUCCGUUUCUCCUCCCAGCGGUCUCACAGCGCCCCUCGUCCGUAUUCAUCUGCACCGGAUCUCUUCCACGAUUCCCUCCUUCCCGUGAUCCGAGCCUCCACUGCGUCCGUGAUCAAUCUCCUCCACGAUCCGCCCAGCCACGGCAUCCCACGCUGCAAUCAAGCUUCUCCCAUCCGAUUGCAAGGCGUGAUCCCAGCAUUCCCAGCAUCCGUUUCUUCCCGUCUCAGCCCGUGCGAAAAGAGGGAAGGAGCAAUACCAGCAAGCCGUGAUCCAGCCAACCGUUGGAGCUCCCAGAUUCACGCGUCCGUCUUCCUCUUCCGCUUCAUCAUCGUCAUCUUCCGAGUUCCAGCCAUCCACAUGCUUGCU